RNAcentral lists this long non-coding RNA (3030 nucleotides) under Homo sapiens (human). Its description in RNAcentral is "HSALNT0018711". Lineage: Eukaryota; Metazoa; Chordata; Mammalia; Primates; Hominidae. The record is from RNAcentral.
GGUUACAGGGCCAGCAAAGGAUCCAAGCAAGACCAGUCAGAGUCCUUUUCAGAGAUUGAAACAGACCAAUCCUGGGAGAAAGAAAGAAUCUCUCCUCUUCUGGGACUGUAAGCGUUGUGGUAGACAGUUAUUCUCAGUAACCCAGAAUCUAAACCACCAUCAGGUUUCAGGAAUUCACCACCUUAAAGGAAGAACCAAAACACCCUUCUUUCUGUAAGCCCCAUGAGAAGCUCAUCCAGGCUGGUCCUGGGCAAAGCUGGAAGGGAGAGAACCUAAAGAUCUGGCCCAUCUGUCCUUCACUGCCGGCUUCCCUGCAGUCCUUUUCCAGAAACCACACCCCACAUUCUCAGCCUAUCAACAGCGUCCUGGUGACCAGGUACAUUCUCAUUCUAUCAUGAGAUUGCUGAAAACUAAAGAAGGCAUCAAGACCCCCACAUGAAUUUCUACUGAUACAAUUUCAGACCUGUGCAGGAAAAUAUUUAAGACAGAAAACGCUUUCUCGAGAGGGUGCCUUCAAAGUUCCCGGAGCUCUUGUCCCUCAGCUGACUCUCACAAACCUGAAACCAAGUGACCCGGCAGCUGCGGGCUCCUCCAUUGACUCAGGCUUCAUCAGAGAGCACCAUAAGUGCCGUAUCUCCUGCUUCAGACCACCUGAGGACCAUUCUACCUGUAUUAUUCAUCUGCUAGGGCUGCCAUAACAGAAUAUCACAAUCCUAGCACAUAAAAUAUGGAAGAGGUCCUCCACAAUGGAGAAAACUAUUGGGGAUAUGCCUUCUGGAGUUUGAUCAAGGAAGAUGGACACAAACAGAAAAGAAAAACAGUCCAGAGGAAGCUGAAGGGUCUCCUACAUUGCACCAGAUGCUGCAGAUGGGGAGGACCAUUCCACUGGAUGCAUUCGGGACUGUAAACAGCAGACUGUGAGUGCGGCAGGCAGGGAUCACCCAGGCUUGACAACUCAACAGAGUUGUUCACUUUGAGGGAAGCUAGUUGCCUUGCCAUGAAGACACUCAAGCAACCACACAGAUAGGUUGAUGGCAAGAUGGAAGAAGCUGAGGCCUCCAGCCAAUAGCCAUAUGAAUGAGCCAGCUUGAGCCAAAGAUGCACUGUCUUAGAGCGGACCCUAGAGCCCCUGUCAAGCUUUCAGACAAUGAAGCACCGACUGACACUUUGACUGCAACCUCAUGAAAGACCCUGGGCCAAAACCACCCAGCUAAGCUGCCCCCAGAUUCCUGACCCUCAGAACUUAUGAGAUCAUAAAUGUUUGGAGCUUUAACUUUAAACACACAUAUUCACAUACACAAUAACAAAAUUCCUAAGACUAAUUUCUGAGAUAAAGGGCCCAAAACAGCCCCUCAGAGAUUUGUCCUAGCAGGGAGUCUAGUCUGAACACCAAAACAAUGUUUUAUAAUCAUGUUUUGUUGGCUCAUUUUCCAGUGUCAGCAACCCCCAAAAUGGGUUCAAGAAUUAACACACCCUUAGAGCUAGGUUCACUGGUAUGCACCCUGCAGUCCCAGCUACUCAGGAGGCUGAGGCAGAAGGACUGCUUGAGCCUAAGAGUUCUGGGCUGUAGUGUGCAAUGAUCAUGCCUGUGAAUAGCCACUGCACUCCAGCCUGGGCAACAUAGUGAGAUCAUGUCUCAAAAAAAGAAUUAACACAUCCCUCCCUUCCUGCAGCCUUCCUGGAUCUAAUCAGAAGGGGAAUGGCAAGUGCUGGGGCAGUGUGGGUGUGCUUUUUUAACCAUAAACUCAUUGUUAGGUGCUGGCACCUCAUAUCAGAUCAUUCUGAUCCUGAGCUAUUCACCAAGCUUGUAUUUAAGUGCCUUACACCUACAUGCUUUCUACCCAUAAUAAAGACAGCUUCCAUUGAUCUCCAGUCUCUAGGAGCCUCUCAGAGUUUGCAAGGAACCUGGGUUGGCCUCUGUGGUUUGUGAGUAUGACAUUCAUGCUAUUUACACUAUUGGGCCAUUGCCUCUAUCCUACUCUGUUGAGAUUCCUAGGAAUUUACACAAACAGGUGUCAAAGAUGAACCAUGUUUGGCCCCAAAGAAAGCAAGGUAAAUGAAAGAAGAUUCUCAUUAUUCAGACAAGAAACUGGAGGACCAACCAUUCCAGUUUGGCCUGGACUCUCCUUGUUUUAGCACUGAAAGACCCAUGUCCCAGGUAACCCCUCAGUCCCAGGAAAACCUGAAUGGUUGGUCACCUAUUUAAAAGGUUGGCCCAAGACUUUUGUUGUUGUUUUAAUUUUAAAUUGGUUGCCAAUAUGUAAAUAUCUGAGGAUUUUACAGAAACAUCCAGAUUUCUGGCUUCUCUUUAAAAAUAGAAAUAUCUGACACAACUGGACCCUCUUGCAUGGCAACUAUAAGCGGGAACUGAGUCGCAGCUGCCCCAUUAGGGAGCUAAUCCUCAUCUGUAAAUACUGAAAAAGCAACUAACCUGGAGGGAACAAGGUUCUCAACUUUGUGGAAGCUGAGAUGAUGCCCUUUUCAUGGCUCAUCAUUUUAAUAUUGGCACAUGCCUGGCCCAUAAUAAGCAUUCAAGUAGCACUGACUGACUAACUGAAUGAAUGAAUAAAUGAAUUAAUGCUCAAAUGAAUAAAUAAAUGGUGCAAAAGGUGGUGGCCUUUUUUUUUUCAUUAGGGCUAUGAUGGCUGCUGAAGAAGGUGUAGGCUUUGAGGUUGGGAAGAUAUGAGUUCAAACCCUAGUUUUUAAUCCCAGCUCUGCCUUCCCUUGCCAGAUGUCUUUGAACAAGCAGUUCCUCUGAGCUUUGGUAUCCAUGUUGGCCUAACAGAAAUAAUACUAUCUAUGCCUCAUAGGGAAGCUGUGAAGAUUAUAUGAGAAAAUGUUCAAGGCCUCAUACAAAGGAGGUACCCAAUAAAGAGUAGCUAAUUAAAAAGUCGUUCACAAGGGAAGUCGGACACAGUGGUCAUGCCUGUAAUCUCAGCACUCUGUGAGACCAAGGUGAGCAGAUUGCUUCAGCUCAGGAGUUCGAGACCAAGCUGGGCAACAUGGCAAAACCCCGUCUCUACUAAAAAC